AUUGGCCUAUUAACCCCCUCUAGGCAUAUAUAGUCAUCCUACAGGUAUUUUCAUGCUUGGUAUUGGAGGGAGAGGCGUCCAAGUUGUAUACCAUUGGCUGUGGAGAAAGAUGCCAGGAGUGACCUUCCUGAAAUUGGCUCAAAGAAAUUCAUUGUGUACGGUGAUAUGCCUCUUGGAGAAUUUGUUGAUUAUAUUCGAUUUACUAUCGGGGUCAGCAGAGAAAAGCCUAUAUAUGUCUUUUCAAGAACACUGAACCUCCUGCUGGUGCCUUGAUGGUCGAAAUCGACAAGGAAAACAAGGAUGAAGAUGAUGGAUAUCUUCACAUUACCUACAGUGAAGAAGGGAGUGUCUAUGAAUGCAAAUUGCAAUGAAGAG
Prunus avium (sweet cherry) is the source of this 375-nucleotide non-coding RNA. The record is from RefSeq and is a predicted model, not a curated record. NCBI's taxonomy places the organism in Eukaryota, Viridiplantae, Streptophyta, Magnoliopsida, Rosales, Rosaceae.